GACGAACGCUGGCGGCGUGCUUAACACAUGCAAGUCGAACGGAAAGGCCCUGCUUUUGUGGGGUGCUCGAGUGGCGAACGGGUGAGUAACACGUGAGUAACCUGCCCUUGACUUUGGGAUAACUUCAGGAAACUGGGGCUAAUACCGGAUAGGAGCUCCUGCUGCAUGGUGGGGGUUGGAAAGUUUCGGCGGUUGGGGAUGGACUCGCGGCUUAUCAGCUUGUUGGUGGGGUAGUGGCUUACCAAGGCAUUGACGGGUAGCCGGCCUGAGAGGGUGACCGGCGACAUUGGGACUGAGAUACGGCGCAGACUCGUACGGGAGGCAGCAGUGGGGAAUAUUGCACAAUGGGCGGAAGCCUGAUGCAGCAACGCCGCGUGCGGGAUGACGGCCUGCGGGUUGUAAACCGCUUUCGCCUGUGACGAAGCGUGAGUGACGGUAAUGGGUAAAGAAGCACCGGCUAACUACGUG
This 468-nucleotide ribosomal RNA is filed under the name uncultured bacterium. RNAcentral describes it as "partial 16S ribosomal RNA". It matches the Rfam family "Bacterial small subunit ribosomal RNA", at positions 28 to 507 of the family's 1533-position model. The record is from RNAcentral.